RNA transcript from Impatiens glandulifera, 1023 nucleotides. RefSeq lists it as uncharacterized. The transcript has 6 exons. Lineage: Eukaryota; Viridiplantae; Streptophyta; Magnoliopsida; Ericales; Balsaminaceae. The record is from RefSeq and is a predicted model, not a curated record.
UGAAGACGACCGUCCGCUCCAUAAACCUAACCGCAAUCCGGAAUCUAUGAACCCUGCGCCACCGCCUUCCGAGACUAACGAGGAGUUGGAGAAGAAAUUUGUUGCUUAUGUAUGUACAGAACGAUGUGUAUGGAACAAUGGGUCUUGGCGAGUUGUCGCUGACGAAGAUACUCAUUGGCAUUGUGAUAGUCACACUCUUGAUGUUGAUUGUUUAUUACGUGAUUUGUCGGAUUUGCAUUAUGUUUUGUCUCCGAAUCAAGCAGAUGAACAGGAAGAUUAUGCGCAUAUGUGUGGAUGGAGGAGGGCUGUGAUUAUCAGGUCUGAAAAGUUCCUCUCUAGGGCUAUUCUUUUUGCUAUGGGAUUUUAUUUGAUCAAAGAAAUUCCUCUUCAUCAAGAGCAUGGAGAUUGUAAAAAUCAAGCUGAAGACAUUGAAAGACCUGAAGUUAUCAUAUCAAAUCAUGUACCAUAUGUCUUACUUCUUCCCAAGCUUUGUAGCUAAGAGAUAUGGAGGAGCAAGAGGCUCUCUCCUCUGUCUCUCUAAGUGGAGGCGCCCUCCUCUCUGCAUCUUACCAGACUCAGUCUCCCAGCAUCGUUUUCCAGUAGUUGGAGAUUAAUUACGUAAUUGGUGAAAGUCAUAAGGAACCGUAACCUCCUUCAUCUAGUCCAAAUGCUAUUAUUAGGAUCUUCGGUGUUACCCAAGAAGGGCACAAUGUUUGGUGCAAUAUUCAUGGAUUUGAGCCGUAUUUCUACAUCAGCUGCCCACCUGGUAUGGGUCCCGAUGACAUCUCACAAUUUCAUCAGAUCCUUGAGUGAAGUGUACAGAAAGGUAAGAGACAAAUACUUAGAUAGCGAUAACAUGGAGUUGGCAGCUUGGACAGCAAGCGAGAUGAUGAAGGAAAUAAACACAAUAGAGAUGAAAUUCGAGGAAUACACCGAGCAUUUACUGAACAGGAUAUCGACAAAGGAAUGUACGAGGAGGAAAAGGAAGGAAGCGAAAGAAGUGGAGGAAGAGAUAUUUUUGGA